UACGUAGGAGGCGAGCGUUGUCCGGAAUUACUGGGCGUAAAUCGCGUGUCGGCGGUCUGAAUAGUCUGCUGUGAAAGCGCCUGGCUUAACCGGGCGAGGUCGGCGGAAACUCUCAGACUGGAGGCCGGUAGAGGGGGGUGGAAUUCCCGGUGUAGUGGUGAAAUGCGUAGAGAUCGGGAGGAACACCUGUGGCGAAGGCGGCCCCCUGGGCCGCGCCUGACGCUGAGACGCGAAGGCUAGGGGAGCGAACGGG
Molecule: ribosomal RNA, 253 nt
Filed under: uncultured bacterium
Lineage: Bacteria
Description: partial 16S ribosomal RNA
Rfam family: Bacterial small subunit ribosomal RNA
Source: RNAcentral